CAGACAUGGGUGCCUGAAAAAGCUCUUUAGUUAACUGUGUAUGGAAGUGAAAAAAAUUAAUAAAUAACAUUAGUAUAACAGAACCUCUAAACAUUAAUACAUUGGCAAAACAAAAUGGACUUAAAAUGAAAAUGACUCUUAAAGCUCUGCUAUUCUCUGUAAGAAUAUUUACCUUCUGUUUUAUUCUUUACAGGUGAGAAUGAUUAAAUACUGUCAAAAUCCUGAAUAAGGAGGACUUUGAAAAGAACUGUUUCUAUCUCCCAAUUCUUUAUUAAGUUAUAGGCAAGGAAGAGCUGAGAAGAGGGAAAGAGGCAAGUAAAACGUCAUUAUACAGAAAAC
This 339-nucleotide long non-coding RNA is filed under the name Bos taurus (domestic cattle). RNAcentral's name for it is "long non-coding RNA NONBTAT006915". Lineage: Eukaryota; Metazoa; Chordata; Mammalia; Artiodactyla; Bovidae. The record is from RNAcentral.